This 1284-nucleotide ribosomal RNA is filed under the name Crioceris asparagi (common asparagus beetle). RNAcentral's name for it is "16S ribosomal RNA". The stretch from base 1073 to 1232 matches the Rfam family "Archaeal large subunit ribosomal RNA", at positions 2542 to 2701 of the family's 2987-position model. The record is from RNAcentral. Lineage: Eukaryota; Metazoa; Arthropoda; Insecta; Coleoptera; Chrysomelidae.
UUAAAAAGUUAAUUGUGGAAUUCAAUUUAAUUUGAAACAAUUAAAUUAUUAUAUAUUUUUUUUCUUAUUUUUUUAUAUUAAAUAAAUUAUUGUUUUAUUUUAUCUUUAGAAAAAAUUUUUAUUAUUAUAGUUUAUUAGUAUUGUGAAAGAAUUUUUUAUUUAUUAAAAAGAAAAAUUAAUUUUUUGUACCUUGUGUAUCAGGGUUGAUUAAAAUAUUUUAAUUAUUUAAUUAUCUCGAAUUUAAAAGGGCUAAUAAGUUAUUUUUUUAAUUGUUUCAUAAAUUUUAUAAAUUAUUUAUUAGUAAUGAAAUGUUAUUCGUUUUUAAAUAUAUCUAGUUUUUUAAGAAAAAAAUUUAAUUUUUUUAAUAAAAUUAUUAUUAAUCUAUUUUGUUAGUUUAAUAUUUUUAUUAUUAAAUAUUAUUAGGGAUAAGCUUAGUAAUAUAUUUUUAAAAAUUUAUUUGAAUAAAUAAAUAUAUAGGAUUGUAAAUUUUCAUUGGUAUUAGUUUGUUAUAAUUAUUUUAUUAUAAAUUUUAUUUAUAUAAAUUUUAAAUUAUUUAUUAAAAUGUUAAUAUAAAUUAUUAUUAUUAAUUAAUAAUGAUUAAAUUAGUAUAAUUUUAUUUAUUAAUAAAUUUAUUAUUAAGAUUAAUUUAAGGAAUUCGGCAAAAAUUUUUCCGCCUGUUUAUUAAAAACAUGUCUUUUUGAUUUUAAUUUAAAGUCUUACCUGCCCCCUGAGUAAUUAAAUGGCCGCGGUAUCUUGACCGUGCUAAGGUAGCAUAAUCAUUAGUUUUUUAAUUGAAAGCUGGAAUGAAGGGUUUGACGAGAAAAAAGCUGUCUCAAUUUAAUAAUUUGAAUUUUAUUUUUAAGUUAAAAAGCUUAAAUUUAUUUAAAAGACGAGAAGACCCUAUAGAGUUUGAUAAAUAAAGUAUUUACAUUAAUAUAGAAUUAAUUAAUUAAAUACUAAAAUUUAUUUGAUUGGGGUGAUUUAAAAAUUAAGUUAACUUUUUAUAUUUUUUUUCAUUGAUUUAUGUUCAAUUGAUCCAUUAUUAACGAUUAAAAGAUGAAAUUACCUUAGGGAUAACAGCGUAAUUUUUUUUGAGAGUUCUUAUUGAAAAAAAAGAUUGCGACCUCGAUGUUGGAUUAAAAUUAAUUUUUGGUGCAGAAGCUAAAAAUAUUAGGUCUGUUCGACCUUUAAAAUUUUACAUGAUCUGAGUUUAAACCGGUGUGAGCCAGGUUGGUUUCUAUCUUUAAAUAUCAUUAAUAGUUUAGUACGAAAGGAUCAAUUAUU